Non-coding RNA from Leptosomus discolor (cuckoo roller), 65 nucleotides. The record is from Rfam. NCBI's taxonomy places the organism in Eukaryota, Metazoa, Chordata, Aves, Leptosomiformes, Leptosomidae.
ACAAAGGUUUUUUUCCCGUGUAACCAGCAACAUGAAAACCACAAACAUACUUUCAUUAAAAAAAU